GGGCCCGCACAAGCGGUGGAGUAUGUGGUUUAAUUCGAUGCAACGCGAAGAACCUUACCAGGGUUUGACAUCCUGCGAAUCUCCUGGAAACAGGAGAGUGCCUUCGGGAACGCAGUGACAGGUGGUGCAUGGCUGUCGUCAGCUCGUGUCGUGAGAUGUUGGGUUAAGUCCCGCAACGAGCGCAACCCACGUCUUUAGUUGCCAGCGAUUCGGUCGGGAACUAUAAGGGGACUGCCGGUGAUAAACCGGAGGAAGGUGAGGACGACGUCAAGUCAUCAUGCCCCUUACAUCCUGGGCUACACACGUACUACAAUGCUACGGACAAAGGGCUGCAAGUUCGCGAGGACAAGCAAAUCCCAUAAACCGUGGCUCAGUUCAGAUCGUAGGCUGCAACUCGCCUACGUGAAGGCGGAAUCGCUAGUAAUCG
This 427-nucleotide ribosomal RNA is filed under the name uncultured bacterium. RNAcentral describes it as "bacterial SSU rRNA". It matches the Rfam family "Bacterial small subunit ribosomal RNA", at positions 917 to 1344 of the family's 1533-position model. The record is from RNAcentral.